RNAcentral lists this non-coding RNA (21 nucleotides) under Caenorhabditis elegans. The record is from RNAcentral. Lineage: Eukaryota; Metazoa; Nematoda; Chromadorea; Rhabditida; Rhabditidae.
UCACCGUUAAACCAACAUUUA